RNAcentral lists this ribosomal RNA (393 nucleotides) under uncultured bacterium. Its description in RNAcentral is "partial 16S ribosomal RNA". It matches the Rfam family "Bacterial small subunit ribosomal RNA", at positions 523 to 918 of the family's 1533-position model. The record is from RNAcentral.
AUACGGAGGGUGCAAGCGUUAUCCGGAUUUAUUGGGUUUAAAGGGUGCGUAGGCUGUGCGUUAAGUCAGGGGUGAAAUGCCGUCGCUCAACGACGGAGCUGCCCUUGAUACUGGCGUGCUGGAGUACGGAUGCCGUUGGAGGAAUGAGUGGUGUAGCGGUGAAAUGCUUAGAUAUCACUCAGAACACCGAUUGCGAAGGCAUCUGACGAAUCCGUCACUGACGCUGAGGCACGAAAGCGUGGGGAUAGAACAGGAUUAGAUACCCUGGUAUUCCACGCCGUAAACGAUGAUGACUAACCGUCGGCGAUAGACAGCCGGUGGCCAAGCGAAAGCGAUAAGUCAUCCACCUGGGGAGUACGUCGGCAACGAUGAAACUCAAAGGAAUUGACGGGG